This is a long non-coding RNA of Orcinus orca (killer whale), 9365 nucleotides long. RefSeq lists it as uncharacterized. The transcript has 3 exons. NCBI's taxonomy places the organism in Eukaryota, Metazoa, Chordata, Mammalia, Artiodactyla, Delphinidae. The record is from RefSeq and is a predicted model, not a curated record.
CACUAGGAAAUAAACAUAGGGGGAAAAUUGUCAAUUUCUCUAAAUAUUUUUCUGUCCCAAUCUCACUUAAGUCUCAGUGACCACAGUAUGAUACAGUGGUGAUACACCCAUUUCUAUCUCUAUUUGACAGAUGAAAACACUAAGCUUUAUUCUUAAGAUCUAUUUUGCCAGGAGACUUUUUGGUGUAUGGUGGGUGAAAAGUUUAGAGAUCAUUUUGAAUUGGUAAAAAAUUAGAAGGUCUAUUUGAAAGCUAUGCAGCGUUAUUGCUUUUAAGCGCCGACGUAAACUAACCAAUAUGAAAUCUUGCCUAAUGGAGACAAGUCUUAGACUUUCUUUAACAAAUACCUAAGGCACACUUGAAAUUUGUAAGAUGCCUAUUAUUUGGAAUGGAUAAAACAAAAGGUUUGAGAACUAUCCUCUUAAUUGAGUUUAACUCCCUCUUGCAAUCUCAUCUAAUGAUUAGCUUAUUUUAAAAAUCCUCUUAUUUACGAACAGUAUGAAUGUAAAGUUCGCUUAAUCAUUCAAUAAACAUUGAUUGAGACCAUUUCCAGGCCCAUGUGUAAAGAGUAGUUAGUUGGUUUUUUUUAAAAUGAAUUUAUUUGGCUGUGUCGGGUCUUCGUUUCUGUGCGAGGGCUUUCUCUAGUCUCGGCGAGCAGGGGCCGCUCUUCAUAGCGGUGCGCAGGCUUCUCACUGUCGCGGCCUCUCUUGUUGCAGAGCACAAGCCCCAUACGCGCAGGCUCAGUGGUUGUGGCUCACGGGCUUAGUUGCUCUGUGGCAUGUGGGAUCUUCCCAGACCAGGGCUCAAACCCAUGUCCCCUGCAUUGGCAGGCAGAUUCUCAACCACUGCGCCACCAGGGAAGCCCCUGUUGUUGUUUUUUUAAUAAAUUUGUUUAUUUAUUUUUGGCUACGUUGGGUCUUCCGUUGCUGCGCGUAGGCUUUCUCUUGUUGCGGCGAGCGGGGGCUACUACUUUUUGUUGCGGUGCCCGGGCUUCUCAUUGCGGUGGCUUCUCUUGUUGUGGAGCACGGGCUCUAGGCACACGGGCUCAGAAGUUGUGGCUCCCGGGCUCUAGAGCGCAGGCUCACUAGUUGUGGCCAUAGUUGCUCCGCGGCAUGUGGGAUCUUCCCAGACCAGGGCUCAAACCCAUGUCCCCUGCAUUGGCAGAUGGAUUCUUAACCACUGCACCACCAGGGAAGUCCAAAAGCAAUUAGGUUUUAAACUCUCCACUUUGCAGCAUUCAGAUUCUUUAAGCUGCCUCCUCCCCUCAUCUUUAAAAUCUUUUUCUAAAAUUUAACAGUGAAGUUUCUUUAUUCAGUGAAUGCUUGAAGCAGAUGACUCUUCACCAGAGGUGGGGUCUGGGAGCCUCUCCGAGGAGAGAAGGCAACUGAGGCCAGGGAAGAGGUGCUUAGAAUGAGACGAUGAGAAAGGCAGUGCCUGGCAAGGCAUAGCACCAAUGGAGCAUUCAAGGAAUGACUAAAAGCUGCAGUGGUGCUGCAGGAAUGAAACACCCUGUCCAGGACCUCUUGGGGGAAGACCUUAAUUUCCCAGGGCUGGAUCCCUAUGACUGGCCUUGACUGAACCUCAGUGCCCCGGGAUGACUGGGCUUGUCUUGUACCCUAGUGAAGCCCAUUCACACCUUCAUCUCAUAGCGCCAGACAGCAUAGCAGAAAAAUCUGGAGGAGCAUAGGACACAACAACAGAGAUGAACCAAAGAUGGUGCACAGAUGGGUCUUUAGAGAGGAUGGGUUACUGCAGAGACAGUAGGUUGGUGGCAGGGGAGUGUGGCUGGGGCUCUCUGAUGUCUAAAAAGAACCAUGGUAAAAAGUUAGUUUUGAAGCUCACAGACCUUUGGUUAGGAUCACAAGUAGCACUUGUUCGAGAGCCUCCAGAGAACGCCUAACCUAGAUGUCCAGGUUCAACUAGGGCCUAGCAUCUUAUGGCGGAAGAAUCAGCCACCUCAGAAGGAGGGCAGCCUGGCAUCUCUGAGGCUUGCGGGCAUUGGACUCAGUGGUUCCCAAGAUGCUCACAUGUUGUUAGAAAAUACAGCAAUUUCCUGUGGUUAGAGGGAAGACUGGGGCCCUUUUUGGUAGACCUUGGUGCAGCCUACACUGGCAUCCUUUUUUUUUUUUUAAUGAACAAUUCAUAAGUUUUUUCUAAAGUAACCAUUUUUAUUUAUUUAUUUAUUUUUGGCUGCGUUGGGUCUUCGUUGCUGCGCGUGGACUUUCUCUAGUUGCAGGAAGCGGAGGCUACUCUUCGUUGUGGUGCGUGGGCUUCUCAUUGUGGUGGCUUCUCUUACUGUGGAGCACGGGCUCUAGGCGCGCGGGCUUCAGUAGUUCCGGCACGCGGGCUCAGUAGCUGUGGUGCGUGGGCUCAGUAGUUGUGGCUCGCGGGCUCUAGAGGGCAGGCUCAGUAGUUGUGGCACACGGGCUUAGUUGCUCUGCCACAUGUGGGAUUGUCCCGGACCAGGGCUUGAACCCGUGUCCCCUGCAUCGGCAGGCGGAUUCUUAACCACUGUGCCACCAGGGAAGUCCGCGCACUGGCAUCUUUGACAAGAUGUUAUAUAAGUGGUGUUGAUAUUGCCACCUAACUUCCUUUUCAAACACCAGAAUCGAUAAUGGCCAUUUCCAGUACUUGGGCAAGUUCAUAAUUAAGCCGAAGGUGACCGUAAAGGAAGAAGUCAGGCUGACCUGGCUUCAAAUCCUGGCUUCACCACUUUCAGGUAUGAUAGAUUAAAGAUGGCUGCAAAUUCUUUUCUACUCCUCCUCCCAUUGAGAGGCAGACUUGAUUCCCCUUCUCCUUUGACCAAGAGGGUGCAGUAGAAGUGAUGCUAGGGCAGAGAAGACUUGCAGCCCCUGCCUGGCUCUCAGAAUGUUCCUGAGACAUUCCUUCUCAGAGAGGCUGCUGUCGGUACUCUGGGGUGACAGCCCCAGCUAGCAUUUGUGCAACAAAGCUGUGUUUGCACAUCUAGCUCAGUGGAGCCUUCAGAUAACUAACUGUAGCCACAGCCAAUGCCUAAGCGCACCUGCAUUAGAGACCCCAAGUGAGACACCCUCACCUCCAGCUGAGCCUCAGAGAAUCAUAAGCAAUAUAAUAAUGUGUUGUUUUAAGCCAGUACAUAUUGGGUGAGAUAAGCACUCAGAGGUUUAGUUUCCUUCUGUAAAAUGGGCAAAAUAGCAGUAUCCACUUCCUAGAGUUAUUGUGAUAUGAAUGUAAUAAUGGUGGAAGCGUCAAACGCAGUGCUCGGCACACAGUAGGUCUUCAGUAAAUGCCAAGCUCCUGCCUGCCCCUUCUCCAGGAGGCUAUAUAUCCCAGGUAUGAGUGAAUCUUGGCCACUGCUCCAAACUUCCUGGGCAGACACCCAACUUUCCUCAAAGGGAAUGCCUAGGAUCAAAUUUGAAAGUGGGGUUGGAGAGCACUUGAUUUUUUUCUUUCUGGGCCAAUCUGUGACCCCUUUAAGAAAAAUAUCACCACCUUGUAUGAGGAAAACGCCAGCAGUUUUUCUGCAGCACCCAGCCCUGCAGAGCCACAGACUGCAUGCACAGUGGGCAGACGUUGUUGAACAGAUGAACAACUGUGGCUUAAUCUGUUUUGGGAAAAGAAAAAAAGUCCUGAAGCAAUUGAUAAACAGGAGGCUGAGGUCAGCGUGAAGGAAGAGUAAAUGAGGCCAGAUUGGGGACCGCUGAAACAUGCUAAAACCCCGCCAAACGGAAUAAAUUAACUACUAGAUGACCACAAGCAUGUAUCCCGCAGACCUACCGGAGCCUGAGGAUUAAUUAUGUGACACCACCCUGUUACCUCACCAUCAACCAAUCAGAGGAUUGUGCAUGAGCUGAUCACAUACCCUGUGACUCCCCUCCCUCACCUGGUCUUUAAAAAUUCUUUGCUGAAACCCAUCGGUGAGUUCAUGUGUUUUGAGCACUAGAUGCCCUGGACUCCUUGCUUGGUGUCCCGCAAUAAACUCUGCACUUCCCUUCAGAACAACCCAGUGUCAGUAGAUUGGUUUUACUGUGCAUGGGUGAGCAGACCCAAGUUUGGGUUUGGUAACGCCACUGCUAACAUCCCAUUGGCCAAAUCGAGUCACAAGGCCAAGUCCACUCUGCUCACAGUGAGAAGCAGAAAGGAGGAAUAUUUGUUCAACAAUAAUCCCAACUAUCACAGAUGUGAUAAUAUCUGCUGCUAUAGACUAAGUGUUGUGUACCCCCAAAUUUAUAAUUGAAACCUAAUUCCCAAUGUGAUGGUAUUUGGAGGUGAGGUCUUUGGGAGGCGAUUAGGUCAUGAGGGUGGAGCCCUUAUAAAUGGGAUUAAUGCCCUUAUUAAGGGGCACAAGAGACCCCAGAGAGCUCCCUCGUCCCUUCUGUCACGUAAGGACAUAAGGAAAAGGUAGCCAUCUAUGAUCCAGAAAGAUGGUUCAUAGCCAUCUAUGAACCAAAUCUGCCAGUGCUCUGAUGUUGGGCGGUGGAGUGAUACCCAUUUAAGUAAAUAUAAGUUCAAUUUUGAUUUUCUGACCAUGUCCUGUCCGGUUAUGAAGGUUCUGUCCCAUCCAUGAAACUGCCACUCAAUUUCUACACUCUUUUGGGGAGGCCAUUAUUCUGCUGAUCAUGUGGUCAAACCAGUGACAGGGACAGCCCAGGCUCCAGGGGAGGGGAAAUAGACUCCACUAUCUGAUGGGAGAAAUAACAAAGCUAUUGUGGCUCUUUAACCCACCACAGUAUGCAUCCACUCAUGCAGUCCUCACCACAAACCCAUGAGGUGGGGACUGAUAUUCACAUUUGAAAGUGGGAAACUUGAGAGCAAAGAUGUUGCUAACUUGGCUAAGGUGAGCCAGCUAGUCAGCGGGAGGGCUAGGGUUCCAGCCUAGGCUGUUUGACAGCGGGGCGAGAGCACCAGACACAACGUUGUGCCUGGUGCUCAGCUGAUGUUUGCUUUCUCCUUCCCUAUUGAUUCCAUUUCUUCAGCCCUUUAAGGAUAGGAAGCUGUCACCCCUUGUACCCCAUUAUGUACAGGCUUCUCUCGUACAUGCACUCACAUGCACCUAAGGGCUUGUGGUAAAGUCUCCUUAAAAAAACAGGGUGGUGGGACUCCAGUGGUUAAGAGUCCGCCUUCCAAUGCAAGGGGACGCGGGUUUGAUCCCUGGUCCAGGAACUAAGAUCUCACGUGCCGCGGGGCAACUAAGCCCGCGCGCCGCAACUACUGAACCCGUGAGCUCUGGAGGCCCCACGCCACAACUAGAGAAGCCCACAAGCUGCAAGGAAGAGCCUGAGCGCCACAACAAAAGAUCCCACGUGCUGCAUCUAAGACCCCACACAGCCAAAUAAAUUAAUUAAAAAAAAAAAGUUGAGUGACUAAAGUGAAUUAAAAACCAUGUGAGGAAAUUAAAAAAAAAAAGCAAACAGAAAAACCAGGGUGGUGGAGUGAUACUUGUUUAACUAAAUAUAAUUCAGUUUGGGUUUUCUGACCAUGUCCUGUCUGGUUAUUAAAGUUUCCUCAUGAUUUCUUUCUAUGGGGGUUCUGACCUGUCCAUGGAAACGCCACCCGGCUUCCACACUCUUUUGAAUCAAACUCGCUUCUGGCUGCUAGUCCUUUAUUUUCAGAUGUUGUCUUAGUAAUGGGUCCAGGGUUCCCCAGCCCCACCACAGGCCCAGACUGAUCUCCCAGAGUCAAUCAACCUCUGCUCCGCCACCCCUUGGGCUUCACAAAGUGCGGGAAGUUACAGAGCUGUGCCAGAGGGAGUAGAGGUGGCAGCAUUCAAAAUCAGCGUCUUGUCUGAAUACAUUCUAACUUAGGUGGGUUUUGAAAUCCAUAUGCGUGGAGCACUGUUCCAAGCACUGGACUACAGUCAUGGGUGUGACACAUUAGCCUACGUAAUCACUUGGUUUGGGCCAGUUCCCCCACCCAAACGUGUGAGAAGAGCCUGGGGUUCAGACAGUCUUGCAGACUGAAAUGGAUGCUUGCCUUGUAAACUAAGUAAUGCUUUUGGAUUCAUUCACUUGUCCAAGAAAUAUAUAAUUGAGCACUUGUUAUGAGCCAGUCGCUGUGCUGGGCAGAGAGGACAAGGAUGAAUAAAUUAGAUGCAGGAAUAAAUUCCUGCCCUCCAGGAGCCCACAGUUAAUUCUAACAGUUAUUACCUACAUUUUAUACCUGGGCAUGUAAAGUGUAAAAAUGUUAACCACAGUGUAUAUGUCUACCAAUAUGUCUAAAGUGUAUAUGUCUACCAAUGAGGCAAGGUUUUCUUCCCCCUAAAGUUAUGGCCCAGAAGAGAGGGGAGUACUUUAUUUUGGGGUCUGUAAAGGAAAAAUACACUCUUGUGUGCUUCCUUUCCUACUAACACUUAACACUUCUGGCAUUUCUGGUUACCAGAUGUGUGGGUUUUCCAUACAUCAAGCAUUCUAUGACACCAGCUGGUGCCUACAAUUCAACUCAAUUCUGACACUAUCCAACCGUAGUUAGAUCUCACAGGUCAAGUCCACAAGACUGCCUCCACUUCAGAUGCCAAUGGCAAAUCUAUGUUGUCACCUGUGCUUCUGACCGACUGGCUAUAUUCAGAGUUUCCCAUGACCACCUCCUUUGAGUCCAUUAAUUUGCUAGAGUGGCUCACGGAACUCAGGAAAACACUCUACUUACUAGAUUACCCAUUUGUGGGCUUCCCUGGUGGCGCAGUGGCAAGAAUCCGCCUGCCAUUGCAGGGGACACGGGUUCAAGCCCUGCCCCGGGAAGAUCCCACAUGCCAUGGAGGAACUAAGCCCGUGCGCCACAACUAGUGAGCCUGUGCGCCUAGAGCCGGCGCUCCACAAGAGAAGCCAUCGCAAUGAGAAGUGCAUACACUGCAACGAGGAGUAGCCCCCGCUCACUGCAACUAGAGAAAGCCCACACGCAGCAACAAAGACCCAACGGUAGCCAAAAAUAAAUGAAUAAAAUAAAUAAAUUAGAUUACCCAUUUCUUAUAAAAGGAUAUAACUCAGGAACAGCCAGAUGGGAAAGAUGCAUAGGGCCAGUUACAUGGGAAGGGCACCAGAGCCUCCGUGCCCUCUCUAGGAGUGUCACUCAUGGCUUCAUUACGUAUGCAUAUAUGAUCAAAUCAUUGGCUGUCGGUGAUUGAUUUAACCUUCAGCUUCUUGCCCCUCUCCCGAGCUCAAGCUGGUGAGAGUGAAAAUUUCAUCUCUCUAAUCCCAAGGUUGGUUCCCCUGGCAACCAGCCCCUAUUCUUAGGUUAUCUUGGGAAUUUCCAAAAAUCAGCUCAUUAAUAAAUUCAGGUGUGGUUGAAAGGGGCCUAUUAUAAGAAUAAUGAAAGACACCCAUUUCACCUUAUGGCUCUUAUCACUUAGGAAAUUCCAAGGAUUUUAGGAGCUCUGAACCAGAAAUGGGAAAAAGACCACAUAUAUAUUUCUUAACAUAAAUCACAACAUCACAGGGUCCUUGCCAUGCCUCUCAUGUUACACCAAUGCUUUCCAAAUUUCUAGUUUUGGAAGCUCACAGAGAUCACCAACUCAGUACAAAAGGAGGUGAGAAAAUGUAACACAGUUUUGUUAGCUAUUCCUGGGAAUGUGACUUUACAUUUGCAAUGCUGGAAGUUGCUAUAAACAAGCUUUUUAUGAUCACUUUAAAAAGCAGAACAGUGAGCAGUUAUGUUGGAGAGACCGGUGAAGGCCUGAACUGACUAAUGCUAUUCGAAUGGACACUUUGUGGAUUGGGAUAAAACUUCCAGGGAAAGCAUCCCAUAAAGGGUCCAAGAGAAUCUCCGACAAUCCAGACGGCAGUGAGAAUGCCGAAUAAAUGGGUCUAGUCGCAGUUAGGACGUUGAUGACCAAGAGGUACAUGAAGAAUUUAAAUAGAUUUUUUAAGUGAAAUAUGAAAGUGGAAAAAAGCGGUAUUUAUAAAUUAAUUUAUUAUAUUGCAUAAAUGGUAUUAAACAUGGAUGUGUAACUAAAUUCAUUUAUUGAAAAAGUACAUCACAAUUUCAUCUAUCUCACUAAAAGCUUUAUGUGCUCAGGUUGACCAAAAUAUUACGAGAGGAUUUCCCCGUUGGAAAGUUAAGUGCUAUCUUAUAUUUGGUACCUACGUCCAUUUGGGCACAUGUGGAACCUUUGCCCAGAGUCAAACAGUUAGGAGGGACAGAGCCAGAUCUCUCUGACCCACCCAUGUAUUUACCUUAAUUCCUCCAUUAGACCAGAUUUCAUUAGAUCUCAGACUAUGGUCCCUGCCCCCAUCGUCCAUCUAUUUCAUUCCAUUUCAACUGAGAGCAUUUAUUGAGCCCCUAAUAUAAUGGAGGAAUUGUUUUUCUAGUCUGUAAAUCACUUUUAAUACUGAACUAAGGGAGAAGAGACUGACUUUUAACUGAAGAUGGAGGAAAAAAAAGUAGUUUUGACUAAGAAUAGCUGGGUCCAGGUUUAUGUAGGCCAUUCUCCCUGUUACACAAUAUGAGUUCUGGUCUUCUCUGUCUUCUUAGGACUAAAAAAUGCCUGUAACCUCAGCCCCAAUAGGACAGUCAUAAGGAGCAAAUAAAAGUGCAAUUUCCCUUUGUCAGUUUUUUUUUUUUUUUUUUUUUUGCGGUACGCGGGUCUCUCACUGCUGUGGCCUCUCCUGUUGUGGAGCACAGGCUCCGGCCGCGCAGGCUCAGCGGCCAUGGCUCACGGGCCCAGCCACUCCACGGCAUGUGGGAUCUUCCCGGACCGGGGCAUGAACCCGCGUCCCCUGCAUCGGCAGGCGGACUCUCAACCACUGCGCCACCAGGGAAGCCCCCUUUGUCAGUUUUAAAAUAAUAAACAAACCUGGUUAAUCUUUGGGUAACAGGGUUUUAUAUUUUUCUUGAUACUUUGCAGUAUCACAUAAAUUUUUUACUUGAGCGUGUAUUAUAUUUAGUCAGAAAAAAUCAGUAAAUAUUCAUUUUUGAAAAAACACAAGUGUUGGGUUACAGAAUUUCAAUUUCACUUGCUGGAUUUGCAUUGAGUCCACCUUACAUUUAACCUCUUUCUUUCUUUUAAUCCAAGCUAAGAGAACCAAACACUUUCUGUGGGUAAUACAUGCAGGGCUCCCCUCUCAGGAUCGCCUGCCAUCCCAGCCUACCUUCCCUCAAGACGCCCAGACAACUAUACAUAGAGGAAAGGAACAGAAAGAUGCUACAAGAGCUUGAGCCAUAUCUUGUGUGUGUGUGUGUGUGUGUGUGUGUGUGUGUGUGUGUGUGCGUGUGUGUGUUCAAUAUUAUUAUGCCUCUCCCUGAGAUUCUCCUUUAAGAUCACAUUCUUCAAGAUACAUUAAGUCUGUGAAAUAAAGCGGAAGACGCUGUGCGACUCAAAGCCAGCUGUGCUACCUCUCUGAGCUGGAGUUUGCUCAUCUGUAGGAUAACUGGUGGAAUCCAAAAGGAAAAAGAGCAU